UUUAGCUGGUCAUACACACUGACACACACAUUUCUAUUUUAGUCUGAUAGAAGCCAAUACUCAAGUUAGGAACUCUGGGUUUUAAUUUGUAAACCUGUGUGAUCUUGGGUUUUGGAAGCACUUAGACCUUCUGCUGCUACAUCACUUGAUCCUGGGACCAGAGGCAGUAGAAAUAGGCUGUGGACACAAGCCACAAAGAGCUCCAUGAAGAGAGUAAAACUCUAACAUCUACAUCAAGAAGGAGAGAUCUGUAGGACCAUGAAAAGAUGCACGGAAGGACCAAUCAACUCAGCUUGAACAGUUAAGAAAGGUGACACUGAGAAAGUAUCACCUAUUCUAGAAAAUGGACAGGAAUUAUUGAGGCUGCUCUGAUGCAAAUCAUCAGGGUGAGAAGGAUGUGACAAAAACACAUACCAAGAAAGACUGCAUUUGCGCCUCUUACCUGGGACAGAACAGAAGCCCACACCAUGCUUUCGCCACAAAAAGGAAAAACAGAAAGUAGAUGUCCGCACCAGCCUCUUGUUAGUCCAUGAAACAGGAAGGGAAAGGGGUAUAGGAGAAUGACUUCCUUCAUUUUAAAGCACAGUAAGCUUGUUCACAAAAAAAAAAAAUUGAAAGAAAAAAAUAAACAAAUAAGAAAAUCAAUGAGUGAAUAAAAAAGUACUAAAUAGAGUAAGUAAAAGGAAAGGAAAAUGAGAAAAAUGAAAUUUGGAGCUCUUAAGAUGUAAGAACGUAUUUGGCUAGAAAUUUCAUUGGCUGUGAUUCAGAUUUAUAAAUUGUUAAACAUACCUCAUUCCAAGCCUGUUUAGAUCAAAUAAAAUCAUGUAUGUGAAAGCAUAUUAUAAGCUAUACAUGUGAUAAAAAGAAAGUUAUUACUAUCCACUUUUACUAGUGUUACCAUAGGCUAAUUGCAUAAAUUUCAAAAAGAUGGAAAGAUCAUCUCAAAAUGUAAGUAUGUGUGGAGCACCUGAUGUGCCUGAUUUGCUACCAGGCAUAGAACAUUUUCAAAACACAGAACUUAGGAAGAAAGCCAAUAGGGGCAGUUGCUCUGUCAAGCAAGACUUUCCACCAGAUCAACAACUGAAUUCAGUCAGCCAAAGGAGCAGAAAUGUCACAGCUGAAAUUUUCAAACCAGUCAAUGACCUUUAAUAUUUACGAAUGGCUGUGCACCCAGGAAUUAACACACUUGAACUUUUUCCUGUUACGUCUAUAGCAGACAUGUACCCAGAUUAAGGCUUUGCCCAGCCAUCUGUUAGGGGAAAUAAAUGCCUGUAUGUUUUUUCCAUUCCCUUCUCUUCCAUUUCUCCUUUACUCUCUCAUUCCAAAAGGAGUCUGAAAUCCAUGGCUGAAUGCACAGAAUGCAACAGAACAGAAAUAAACAGAUGAAGAAAUCAGUAUAGGAUCAAAAUGAGGGUGAGAAAACCGGGUGACUCUAGGGAUAGAAAUGCAAGCCUCAUUGAUAGGUUGGUAUUUUAGUUCUGAGCAUCCCAGGGACCCAAUGAGGCAAUAUGAUUGUUCCAAGAUACACAAUAACCAUGAGAUAAAAGCCAACCGCAUUUUUAGAAGAAACAUUUCAAAUAUAAACAGUGUUGAAACAUUUUCAUUCAUCACUCUACACAACUGUUGGGCCAUUGCAAUAGAAAUUUCCAAGUUUCCCACCACAUAUUAGAGAAAAAUUCCAGUCUAAACUGAAUCUUAUGAAUUGUUUUUCCUUCUUUGCUGAGGUAAUGUUAAACAUAAGAUACAUUAAUAGAGAAUGACUCUCAUUUUGCUAAGGAAUAUGUUUGUUACAUCACUAAUUUGAA
RNAcentral lists this long non-coding RNA (1805 nucleotides) under Homo sapiens (human). Its description in RNAcentral is "HSALNT0086954". The record is from RNAcentral. Lineage: Eukaryota; Metazoa; Chordata; Mammalia; Primates; Hominidae.